This 425-nucleotide ribosomal RNA is filed under the name uncultured bacterium. RNAcentral's name for it is "bacterial SSU rRNA". It matches the Rfam family "Bacterial small subunit ribosomal RNA", at positions 355 to 796 of the family's 1533-position model. The record is from RNAcentral.
UAGGGAAUUUUCCACAAUGGGCGAAAGCCUGAUGGAGCAACGCCGCGUGCAGGAUGAAGGUCUUCGGAUUGUAAACUGCUUUUCUCUGUGACGAUUAUGACGGUAACAGAGGAAUAAGGGUCUGCUAACUACGUGCCAGCAGCCGCGGUCAUACGUGGGACCCAAGCGUUAUCCGGAAUUACUGGGCGUAAAGAGUUGCGUAGGUGGCAGAGUAAGUUGGUAGUGAAAUCCUGGGGCUCAACCCUUUAAACAUUAUCAAAACUGCUCAGCUAGAGGACAAGAGAGGUCACUGGAAUUACUAGUGUAGGAGUGAAAUCCGUAGAUAUUAGUAGGAACACCGAUGGCGUAGGCAGGUGACUGGCUUGUUCCUGACACUAAGGCACGAAAGCGUGGGGAGCGAACGGGAUUAGAUACCCGCGUAGUCC